AUUGAACGCUGGCGGCAGGCUUAACACAUGCAAGUCGAACGAUGAAACUCUAGCUUGCUAGAGAUGAUUAGUGGCGGACGGGUGAGUAACAUUUAGGAAUCUGCCUAGUAGUGGGGGAUAGCUCGGGGAAACUCGAAUUAAUACCGCAUACGACCUACGGGUGAAAGGGGGCGCAAGCUCUUGCUAUUAGAUGAGCCUAAAUCAGAUUAGCUAGUUGGUGGGGUAAAGGCCUACCAAGGCGACGAUCUGUAACUGGUCUGAGAGGAUGAUCAGUCACACCGGAACUGAGACACGGUCCGGACUCCUACGGGAGGCAGCAGUGGGGAAUAUUGGACAAUGGGGGCAACCCUGAUCCAGCCAUGCCGCGUGUGUGAAGAAGGCCUUUUGGUUGUAAAGCACUUUAAGCAGGGAGGAGAGGCUAAUGGUUAAUACCCAUUAGAUUAGACGUUACCUGCAGAAUAAGCACCGGCUAACUCUGUG
Molecule: ribosomal RNA, 480 nt
Filed under: uncultured bacterium
Lineage: Bacteria
Description: partial 16S ribosomal RNA
Rfam family: Bacterial small subunit ribosomal RNA
Source: RNAcentral